This 253-nucleotide ribosomal RNA is filed under the name uncultured bacterium. RNAcentral's name for it is "partial 16S ribosomal RNA". It matches the Rfam family "Bacterial small subunit ribosomal RNA", at positions 524 to 776 of the family's 1533-position model. The record is from RNAcentral.
UACAGGGGGUGCAAACGUUGCUCGGAAUCAUUGGGCGUAAAGCGCACGUAGGCGGUCUGUUAUGUCGGCUGUGAAAGCCCUUGGCUCAACUGAGGAAGUGCAUCCGAAACUGGCAGGCUAGAGUACUAAAGAGGAUCGCGGAAUUCCCGGUGUAGAGGUGAAAUUCGUAGAUAUCGGGAGGAACACCGGUGGCGAAGGCGGCGAUCUGGGUAGAUACUGACGCUGAGGUGCGAAAGCGUGGGGAGCAAACAGG